Molecule: non-coding RNA, 2609 nt
Organism: Ciona intestinalis (vase tunicate)
Lineage: Eukaryota; Metazoa; Chordata; Ascidiacea; Phlebobranchia; Cionidae
Source: RefSeq, a predicted model, not a curated record
AGCGGUAGAGUAUUCUUUGGUGAAAGCGAAGCAUGCGUUUUUUUGUUCUCUCGUUUUUCGCUGAAAACACUGCCUCUCGCCUUUCAGAAUGAGAGCGGCCACGCUUCAACAAUUUUGUCACGUGCGUAGUACACUUUUAAAUUCUUUCGCCACGCAGCUUUUAAAUCAGUUUUAUGAAUUUCACGGUGUUUGAGCUGGAAUAUCUUGGGUUAUACAGGACCGAUUAAAACAAGUAAGGUGUCGUUGGAAUUAGAAAAACACACUCUAUCUAUUAAAGCGAUGUACGUUUGGGUAUUAAACAAAGUUCAUUUUUUUGUGAUCGACACGUGUAAGGGGAUAUAAUUGAAUUCUUGGGCAGUGGCAAGGUUAUUAAACUUACAAAUAAUACUCCGAACACCAAACAUAAUCAGAAACAUAUUCCCAUAUUUAGUAACAUUAUAAUGUUUCGGUUUGUAGUAAUAAUGUGUUGGAAACAUAAUAAUUUUUCAGAAACAAUAUUCUGUUUCUGGUGUGGUAACUAUGUUUCGGAAACAUAAUGCCAUUUCAGAAACAUUAUUAUGUUUCUAGUGUUGUAUUAGGUUUCGGAAACAUAAUGCCAUAUCAGAAACAUUAUUAUGUUUCUGGUGUUGUAUUAGGUUUCGGAAACAUAAUGCCAUUUCAGAAACAUUAUUAUGUUUCUGGUGUUGUAUUAGGUUUCGGAAACAUAAUACCAUUUCAGAAACAUUAUUAUGUUUCUAGUGUUGUAUUAUGUUUCGGAAACAUAAUACAAUUUUUCUAGUGUAUCGAAACUGUUCAGUUUUAAAAAUGCGAAAAAAUAUGCUCUUUGUUGCCACCUAGUGACAUUUUUUUGUACUUAAGUUUCGGAAACAUUAUGUAUUAAUUUUGCUAAAAUCUUAUGUUUCUGGAUUUUGUUUCGGAAACAUAAUUCAACCAAGGUAUUAGGUUUCGAUUCCAGGGAUUAUGUUUCUGGAUUAUGUUUCUAGAAACUUUAUCUUUGAAUUAGAAACAUUAUACACGCCUGAGAAACGAAAAUAGAAACAUAAUACCGACUCACUAUGCUUAAGUAUAGGGUGAACAAUUCCCUUUUUUAUUGAAUAAACUCAAAGCCCUUUGACAGUCGUGACCGGUAUACCACAUGGAGAACAAUCAAGAUGGUUGCGACUUGACUUCUCCGGUUCCCAAUAUUCACCGUGUAUGCCCAAGGACGAGCAAAGGCGAAAGCAAUAAUGGGUUGUCAAAAUUAGAAGGGACGUUGGCCCAAAUUUUAAGAUAACAUCCAAGACAAGAGUGUGUAGCAAACAUUUUAAGGAAGAAGAUUUCCGUCCUCCCGAUAAUUCUGGGAGACGACUUCUAAAAGAAGGAACAUUGCCCUCUGUAUUUGAUUGGACAGCAACCACAAAAAUACAAGGCGGAAAGUUUUAAGGCAUGAUGUUUGUGAAAGUGGGACACAAACAGAUGAAAGUGAUAUUGAAGCGGAUGAUGCUUCAAACCAACCCCCAAAAUCAAUUUGGCCAACUAGGGCUAAGAUGCCAGCUGAAUUUAAAAGCCUUUACCCCACCACUUGUGUAAUCCUCGAUUGCACCGAAAUAUUUUGUUGUUCCUUUUGCAAUCACAGCUCUACUCUUCUUAUAAGAAGAGUAGCACCACACUAAAUAGAUUGGUAGGCAUUGCACCCACAUGGUGCAAUAACAUUUGUAUCAUCCAUGUUUACAGGAUCAAUUUCAGAUAGAGAAAUUACAAGACUUGAUUUGUUGGAGAAUGAGGAUUUUGUGAUGGCAGAUAAGGGUUUUGAUAUAGAGGAUAUGUUUGAGGAAUGGGGGGGGGGUCGGCCUUAACCUUCCCCCAUUUUUACAAGAUAGAAGGCAGUUUUCUGCAGCAGAAGUCAAUAACACAAAGACAGUUGCCAAAUUGAGAAUACAUGCUGAAAGGGCAAUCAGGAAGAUCAAAGAAUUUCACAUCUUCGACUCAGAUGUACCACUGUCAAUGUUGGGCUCAACAAAUCUAAUAUAUACAGUUGCCUGUUUAUUGACCGAUUUUCACAGGGGCCCUUAAUUUUAAAGAAUAAAAAAAAUCAUUUUUUUUAAUAAUUUUGUUUUUCUGUGUCCUGCAUCUGUUCUGCACACAGCCCUAUUGCAUCCUCGCAUAAAAUGUUUGCCUAAACAGUAAUAAAAAAAACUUGUCUACUUUGUCUUUGCUGUGUAUAGGAAAUUUUUUUGUCAUAAAUGAUUCUCUGACUAUUGCAUCCUUGCAUACUAUGUUGGCAUUAAAAAGUAUUCAAAAAAAAACUUGUCUACUUUGUCUUUGCUGUCUUGGAAAAAAUAUUUGUCAAAAAGGAUUCUCUGACAAAAAAUGUACUGUCAUUCAUAAAACUGAAAAAAUCACACCACUUAAUGCCAGUAAGUGCCAACUGACAUUGAACUUGGAAGUGGUACUCGUGGUUUCUUUUCAGUGUUUUUCUCUUUGGUAACUGGAUCAAUAUGAAUAUAUCUCACAUUCCUGAAAUCACCCUCUUUAAUCACUCACCCUUUUUAACUACUUUAAUCUCUAGUAAGCCAUAUGGAUUCAAUCCCUGAUUAGCUGCUGCAAUAUCAUACACUUUGCGGUCAGGA